Drosophila obscura is the source of this 1233-nucleotide long non-coding RNA. RefSeq lists it as uncharacterized. The transcript is spliced from 3 exons. The record is from RefSeq and is a predicted model, not a curated record. NCBI's taxonomy places the organism in Eukaryota, Metazoa, Arthropoda, Insecta, Diptera, Drosophilidae.
UUUUUCAACAUUGAUUUGACAAACAAACAAAAAAUACAAAAACGUUUUUAAAAGGAAAAUUUGCAAGUUAUUCGUGUCAAACUCCCCAAACUGUACUCAAGGGGGACUUAAUUCAAGCAACUGGGGUUGAAUUUUCAGCUGCUAGCAGUGGUUAAUAAACCGAAUUGUGUGACUCAGACGUUUCCUCCCCUUGCUCGCAUUUGUGGCCCUGGACAUGGACAUGGCAUGUUUGCAUUUCGAAAUGGAUAAACAAUACAAACCCACUGCAUCUGACACUGAAGCGUUGACUCGUGGAAGUCAGCGGAGAAAAUAGGAUUCAUUUCGGACAUUUCCGACCAAAUCGCUGUUUACGGCUGUCCUGCUAAAGCCGAGUGGGCUUAUAGGGAAAAUGCUUCCACUUCUGUAAGAGAGGAACGGAAUCUGUAAGGAUUGAAGAGGAAGACUGAUACACAUAGACGAUUCAGGAAGGCACCGUAAAUAUUUUGUUAUACAUUAAUUUAUAUAGAAAUCUAUGGGUUUGCUCAAUUUAUCGGUGUUUUGUUUUAUUUGUUGUUUGACGUUGUGUAUGGGCUUUAAUUUGAAUAUUUAUUUUAUUUACAGUUUUUAUUUAAGACUCGUUCCCCUCGUUCAAGUCAUAUAUAGUAACAGUUGCAAUAAACAGCUUUCAACUUAUUGCUUACAUGUCUCAAUAUAAUUUACAAGAAAAACUUACUUAACUCUAAUUUCUGUUGUUCUGCUUUUGUCUCUGUGCUUCACGCAUUUAAUUUACGCAUAUUUACUGUUUGUUUGCCUUUUUAUUUUCUGAUGCUUCGUUAAUUCGUAUGUGUAUUUUACUAGUGAGAAUAUUGGGUGGUUAAUUGAGAGUAUAUAUAAUCACUAUAUAUAUAUAUAUCUAUCUGACUUCUGUGUACCAGCUUCAACAUGUUUUUAAUUUUUAAUUUAUGUACGUUCGUUAUUCGGCUUUUAACUAUGCGCUUGCGUUAUGUUUUUGUUGUAUAAAUAAAAUAGAAUAUUUUUGCUUUUGCUUCGCUUCGAAUAAUACAUGCCAUAUACAUAUACAAAAUAUGGAUUAUGAUUCUCAUAACUUAUGGUUCGACGUUAACCACGUGAGGCCCUCCGAUAGGCCAUCGCCGGUUGUGGCACAUGAUGGUUGGACAUACCAAUUGCGAUCUCUUAUUCUAGUUAAGCCUAGUUUUUCCUGGAUUUCAUGGGGUUUCAUUGCUGCAAGACACA